RNAcentral lists this transfer RNA (66 nucleotides) under Aphrodita australis. RNAcentral describes it as "tRNA-Asn". Lineage: Eukaryota; Metazoa; Annelida; Polychaeta; Phyllodocida; Aphroditidae. The record is from RNAcentral.
UAAAUGAAAGCCAAAAUAGAGGCCCCUAACUGUUAAUUAGACCAAUGUCCAAUAUGACUCAUUUAG